GCUUGCUCCUGCUGGAUUAGUGGCGAACGGGUGAGUAACACGUGAGUAACCUGCCCUUGACUCUGGGAUAAGCGUUGGAAACGACGUCUAAUACCGGAUACGAGCUAGGACCGCAUGGUCACUAGCUGGAAAGAACUUUGGUCAAGGAUGGACUCGCGGCCUAUCAGCUAGUUGGUGAGGUAACGGCCCACCAAGGCGACGACGGGUAGCCGGCCUGAGAGGGUGACCGGCCACACUGGGACUGAGACACGGCCCAGACUCCUACGGGAGGCAGCAGUGGGGAAUAUUGCACAAUGGGCGCAAGCCUGAUGCAGCAACGCCGCGUGAGGGACGACGGCCUUCGGGUUGUAAACCUCUUUUAGCAGGGAAGAAGCGAAAGUGACGGUACCUGCAGAAAAAGCACCGGCUAACUACGUGCCAGCAGCCGCGGUAAUACGUAGGGUGCAAGCGUUGUCCGGAAUUAUUGGGCGUAAAGAGCUCGUAGGCGGUUUGUCGCGUCUGCUGUGAAAAUCCGAGGCUCAACCUCGGACCUGCAGUGGGUACGGGCAAACUAGAGUGCGGUAGGGGAGAUUGGAAUUCCUGGUGUAGCGGUGGAAUGCGCAGAUAUCAGGAGGAACACCAAUGGCGAAGGCAGAUCUCUGGGCCGUAACUGACGCUGAGGAGCGAAAGCGUGGGGAGCGAACAGGAUUAGAUACCCUGG
RNAcentral lists this ribosomal RNA (700 nucleotides) under uncultured Actinomycetes bacterium. Its description in RNAcentral is "bacterial SSU rRNA". It matches the Rfam family "Bacterial small subunit ribosomal RNA", at positions 78 to 790 of the family's 1533-position model. Lineage: Bacteria; Bacillati; Actinomycetota; Actinomycetes. The record is from RNAcentral.